UGGGGAAUAUUGCACAAUGGGCGCAAGCCUGAUGCAGCCAUGCCGCGUGUGUGAAGAAGGCCUUCGGGUUGUAAAGCACUUUCAGCGGGGAGGAAGGCGAUAAGGUUAAUAACCUUGUCGAUUGACGUUACCCGCAGAAGAAGCACCGGCUAACUCCGUGCCAGCAGCCGCGGUAAUACGGAGGGUGCAAGCGUUAAUCGGAAUUACUGGGCGUAAAGCGCACGCAGGCGGUCUGUCAAGUCGGAUGUGAAAUCCCCGGGCUCAACCUGGGAACUGCAUUCGAAACUGGCAGGCUAGAGUCUUGUAGAGGGUGGUAGAAUUCCAGGUGUAGCGGUGAAAUGCGUAGAGAUCUGGGGGAAUACCGGUGGCGAAGGCGGCCCCCUGGACGAAGACUGACGCUCAGGUGCGAAAGCGUGGGGAGCAAACAGG
This 429-nucleotide ribosomal RNA is filed under the name Chloroflexota bacterium. RNAcentral describes it as "Chloroflexi bacterium partial 16S ribosomal RNA". It matches the Rfam family "Bacterial small subunit ribosomal RNA", at positions 355 to 776 of the family's 1533-position model. Lineage: Bacteria; Bacillati; Chloroflexota. The record is from RNAcentral.